AAGUCGUAACAAGGUUUCCGUAGGUGAACCUGCGGAAGGAUCAUUACCAAAUCCAAAUUCUUAACCCCAUGUGAACUAUUGUUUUAGUCUGUCUUUGGGAGAAGAUAAAUUUAUUUUUUUCUUCUCCCAAUAGAGUCCGGCAUAACUUUAUUGUUGUGUCCAGAUUCGAAAAAAAAACAACCAUUAAACCACUUGAUUUUCUGUUGGAAUUACUUUUAUUAAUUACAAAUAAAAGACAACUUUUAACGGCGGAUCUCUUGGCUCGU
RNAcentral lists this unclassified non-coding RNA (266 nucleotides) under fungal sp. RNAcentral describes it as "partial internal transcribed spacer region". The stretch from base 1 to 46 matches the Rfam family "Eukaryotic small subunit ribosomal RNA", at positions 1786 to 1831 of the family's 1831-position model. The record is from RNAcentral. Lineage: Eukaryota; Fungi.